This 522-nucleotide ribosomal RNA is filed under the name uncultured bacterium. RNAcentral's name for it is "bacterial SSU rRNA". It matches the Rfam family "Bacterial small subunit ribosomal RNA", at positions 278 to 752 of the family's 1533-position model. The record is from RNAcentral.
GAUCGUUAGCUGAUGUGAGAAGCCAUGGUUCAGCCCACACGGGGCACUGAGACACGGGCCCGACUCCUACGGGGAGGGCAAGCUAGUGAAGGGAAAUAUUUGGGUCGAAUGGGACGAAGUUCUGAAACCCAGCCCAUGCCGCGUGAAAGGAAUGAAAGGGCGUUUCUGCGUUGUAACUUUCUUUUAUUCUGGGGAAAGAAAACCUUACGAAUUUUUAUUGUUAGCCGACGGGCCCAGAAGGAAAUAAGCCACCCGGGCUUAAACUCCGUGCCCAGCAAGCCGCGGUUAAUCGGAGGGGUGCCAAGCGUUUAUCCCGGAAUUUCACUGGGGUUUAAAAGGGUGUGUAGGGAUAUUUAAAGUUCCGAGGUGAAAAUCUCUGAGCUUAACUCAGAAACUGCCUUGGAUAAUUUAUCUUGAAUAUCGUUGAGGUAGGCGGAAUAUGUCAUGUAGCGGUGAAAUGCAUAUAUGACAUAGAACACCGAUUGCGAAGGCAGCUUGCUAAACGAUUAUUGACGCUGAGGC